GUCCACGCUGUAAACGAUGAGUACUAGGUGUUGCGGGUAUUGACCCCCGCAGUGCCGACGCUAACGCAUUAAGUACUCCGCCUGGGAAGUACGGCCGCAAGGCUAAAACUCAAAGGAAUUGACGGGGGCCCGCACAAGCGGUGGAGCAUGUGGUUUAAUUCGACGCAACGCGAAGAACCUUACCCAGACUUGACAUUGAUGGAAUCCUGUAGAGAUACGGGAGUGCCCUUCGGGGCCCAGAAACAGGUGCUGCAUGGCUGUCGU
RNAcentral lists this ribosomal RNA (264 nucleotides) under uncultured bacterium. Its description in RNAcentral is "partial 16S ribosomal RNA". It matches the Rfam family "Bacterial small subunit ribosomal RNA", at positions 793 to 1055 of the family's 1533-position model. The record is from RNAcentral.